AGACAACUGCCUCAGAUACAGGGGACAUCACACAUUCUUUCCAUACCUGGAAAGAGGAAAAGAAAAGUUAGAAAACCCAACUGGAAGAGUGUUUUAGCUUUAAAUAGAGAACUAUAUAUAACGAGCAUAAUACAAGAAGCAGGAUUAUGCAACUUGUCAGUGACAAAUUAAAGUGAAUUGGAGGAAAAUUGGAAGAAGAAAAUCUCAGAAACUUGCAUUACCAAAAACCCAAAAGCUUAUUUCAAUUAAAUUGAAAGAUGCACAUAUAUAUAUAUAUAUGCCCAAAAAAGCCAUACCUGAAGAUGCCCAGAAAGAGAAAGUGUAUGCAAUAAGCUAUGGAAUUCAGUUGAAGAGUCUUACGUGGGGCAAGCAAACGCAUACCUUUGCCACUUGCGCAGAGAGAGAGAGAGAGAGAGAGAGAGAGAGAGAGAGAGUUGAAAUACACUGGAGUAAAUUAAGUAGAGUGAGAAAGGUUGUGUUAAAACCAGAACCAAAUUUGUUACGUUUUCUUCCAACUCAGUUCAUUUUUGAGGUGCAAUGAAACUUUCAUUGUCUCCUUUUUCCUAUAGAUAGAUGGGGAGGGAUUAACUUCCAUUUUCUGUUGGUGGUGUAUCAAGAUCAACUUUGUCAGGAAAAUGGGGCCCACACAGCCCCUACUCUCUCUCUCUCUCUCUCUUACUAUUGGUGCCUCUGCAUUGCAUGCAUGUGAGGGAUGCAACUCAGCCACACGCUCUCCUUUGUUGGACGGCCUACAGUGAACCACGUCAGUCAAAGGAAUAAUCAGGGCCGUCUGUCAAAAUCCUUUUUUUUUUUUGAACCAUGAAAAUGCAAUGCGUGUGGUCCUGAAUCUAUAGCAUUAUAAAUUUAUGAGAGCUUUUGGAUAUACAGUAUAGUUGAGAACUUGGAUGGUAAAAGCCAGGUAUCUGAACUCUGCUGCUUCACCUGAUACAUAAUAUUCAGUUAACAUCUACACAUACACAUACAUGCAGCAUGAUGCAAUUACUAUCUUUUAUCUUUCAGACUUGAGGGUACAUUUUUUUUCUUUCUUUUUUAACAUAAUGAUGGCUAGUAGGAGCGUGAUCGAUCGAUGCAUUAUCGAUAUUACCAGCUGUGAACACAAAAUAGCGACUAUACACCACGUUUUGUAAAUUUGUAACCGAUACUAGACACAUUUCCCUUUUGAAAGGUAACUACUCUUCUACUACAUAUGGGGUCACUUCUUAAUCAAUUCAUGCAGGGCAGCCAAGGAGGGUCGUUUUUCCUUGAGCGGAUUUAUUAAUUUUUAUUUUUAUUUUUAUAAAUAAAAAAAAUCUCAUAAGAGGGAAAAUAGUAUAAAAAGAUGAUGGACGAGGGAGGGAGGGACAAAAUGAACAGUGAAGAAGAGUCCAUGACGUAUGGGCCUGCAACCAGUGUAAAAGCCUGAGGGAACAAUACAAAAAACGAUUGCGGGGUCCAUAGAUAAGUUUGCAAAAGAAGAAAGGACCACCAUGGUUCUACUUCUGUUGGCAUUUUUCUCCACACUCUCAACUUGAUCCCAAGUGGAUAUUCCUACCAUUAAUGCUCUAGAGAAGGCCUUCAAUAAUUCAAUUUUGACAAUGAACAUUCUCACAAGUUUGGUUUUGCCACUUAGCCUUGGAGGUAUAUGUUGGCACUUGUGACCCGCAUUUAUUUUCUUUACAUAUUAAGGAUUCUUAUAUUAAAUAUAAUUGAUUUAUUUUAAUUCAUGAUUUUUAACUAUAAAUAGAAUUAGGAGUUAUUAUUUUUCUUGACUGAUAAGGAUUUAGUGUAUUAUAAAUACUAGCCUUUUCGUACGCGCUUCUGCACAUGCAAGAGGCUUUUUUUAAAUAAAUUUAAAUUUAUUUUAGAAUUAAAAAAGAUAAUGGAUAAUUGUGUUCCAUAAAAAUAGGAUUCAUUAUCUGAUUUUUCUUUUAAUUUUAAUUUUUUUAAAUAUGAAAAAGUGUGAAUUUAUCAUAUUAUCCUCAUUUAAUUAAUAAUUUCAAUUCUAAUGUUUGCAUACCAAAUGCAUUUUCUGGCAUUUUGAAUGUUUCACCAUUCUUUGCAUUUUGCUUUAUAUAUAUAGAUACCUCCUAUAAGGAGGAGAGUACACAGAAAAUUUCCACAAACAAUAUUCUCUCAUAGGUUUUCAUAUUUUAGCAUGGUAUCAGAGUAGCGAUCUUGAAAAAUAAGACGAACCUGAACACACUGAAGACCCCCCUCUCAUUCAACAGUACCAAACAACCAAUCUCCUGAUAAUAUCUUUGAGAUAAAUAUCCUUACAACUCCUUUGAAUUUAGUUGAUGAUUCUAUUGGAUACCAAUUACCUUUCACGCAGAACCAUGGAAAACCACCGAAUCAGUAUUCUUCUGAUAUUAGGAAGACGUCAAAGUACCCAAUUGCCAAUCAUGUGUCCACUCAAAGACUUCCUGAACCACUGAAGGCAUUUUUGCAUCAGUUAUCUGCUAUUGCCAUUCCUACUAAGGUGACUGAAGCAUUGAAAGAUCCGAAGUGGACCUAAGCAAUGAAUGAAGAAAUGAAGGCUCUAGAGAAAAAUCAGACGUGGACACUGGAGAUAUUACCCCCAGGAAAAAGAACAGUUGGAUGCAGAUGGGUGUUUACUGCCACACACAAUACUGAUGGGUUCAUUGAACAAUACAAGGCCAGACUUGUGGCAAAAGGGUACACACAGACCUAUGACAUCGAUUAUGAAGAAACUUUUGCCCAUGUAGCAAAGCUUAACAUAGUUAGAGUGCUACUAUCUCUUGCAGCUAACCUGGAUUGGUCACUCCAUCAAUUUUAUGUAAAAAAUAUUUUCUUGCAUGGUGAACUCACAGAAGAAGUUUACAUGGGCGUUCCACCGGGAUAUACAACAUCUACUCAGACUAGUAUGGCAUGCAACUUGUGAUAAGCACUAUAUGGCUUGAAACAGUCACCACGUGCAUGGUUCAGAUGAUUCACUUUGACAAUGAGAAAUUAUAGGUUCAAGCAGAGCAAUUCAGAUUAUACUCUAUUCUUGAAACAUUAGAAAGGAAAGGUAACAGGUUUAAUAAUUUAUUUUGAUGAUAUAAUUAUUACUGGGAUGAUGAACAUGAAAUAUCUCGGCUGCAAAACUAUUUAGCUAUUGAAUUUGAGAUGAAGAAUCUAGGUGGACUCAAGUAUUUCUUGGAAUUGAGGUGGCCCAAUUAAAGCACGGCAUAUUUCUAUCUCAAAAGAAAUAUGUCUUGGACUUGUUGACAGACACAUGAAUGUUAGACUGCAAACAUGUAGACACUCUUAGUGUUCAUAAUUAUCAUCUUAGAGAAUACUCGGGUCAAGUUCCAACUAACAAGAAAAAACACCAAAGGUUAGUGGGAAAAUUGAUCUGUCACAUACUCGACCAGACAUUGCUUAUACAGUGCAUUAUCUAAGUGAAGACUACAUGAAUGCAGUUCUCCGAAUACUUAGAUAUUUGAAGUCUGCACCCGGAAAAGGACUUAUGUUCUCAAAACAUGGUCAUUUGAAUAUUGAUGGUUACACAAGUCUUUUUCCGGGUGCAGACUUCAAAUAUCUAUUGCACAUAAUCUAGUUCAACAUGAUCGCACCAAACAUGUUGAGGUAGAUUGACACUAUAUCAAACAGAAGCUCGAAGCUAAAGUGAUUCAAUAUCCUCUAGUAAAGUCCGAGGACCAAUUGGCGGAUAUUUUGACAAAAGAAAUUUCCAGUAGAGCGUUCCACAAUUCACUGGACAAGUUGUGUAUUGGCGACAUCUAUGCACCAACUUGAGGGAGAGUGUUGGCAUGACUUGUGGAUCCGCAUUUACUUUCCGUACACACCAAGGAUUCCUAUAUUAAAUGUAAUUGAUUUACUUUAAUUCAUGAUUUCCUACUACAUAUAGAAUUAAGAGUUAUUACUUUCCUUGACCUACAAAGAUUUAUUGUAUUAUAAAUAUGACCUCCUACAAGGAGAAAAAUACACAGAAAAUUUCCACAAAUAAUAUUCUCUCAUAGGUUUUUAUAUUCUAGCAGUAUAUCAAGUCGAGAACAGUUCUGCUCACCACUCUUAAAUGUUGAUGAGCACUUCCACCACGCUAAUUGUCAUUGGAUGAAUGUGAUUUAAUCUACAUGCUAUACGAAUUUCAAAAAUUAAACUCAUUUAACGGCCAUUUAGGUUGGAUUGAUGAAUAAUUGUAUUUGAGUUCAUUUUGAGAUCUUUUAGGUUGGAAAUGGUCUGCCAAUGGGGUUUAACCAGUAGAAAUAAGUAUUGACUUACAUGACACUGCGAUAGUUUGCGUAUGUGAGAAAUUUUUAUUCUCUUAUAAUUCAUACUAUAGCUAGUAUUAAACAAAAAUAAAAAACAAAACAAAACAAAAGGUUGGAGAUGGCAUUACAGCUUCAAAACCACUCUCACCCCAAUACCACCAACGAAAGCAUUGUUCUGAAAAAAGUUAUGGUACUAGUUAAUUAGAACUACAAUUUUCAUUUGAAGGUCCACUUAAUGCCUCUUUCUUUGUACUUUUGUAGCAAAGUUGAAAAAGCUGAUCUUUCUGACCAGUACUGAAUAAUGUAAAAUAAUUAUCAAACAUUGCAUGCAACUUUACAUGAGAAAAACAUGUUGGAGGUGCAUUUUUUUAAAAUCCGAAGAGCACCCACUAUCCAAUCCAAUUUCUUCGUGGCCUCAAAAGUAGUCAAAAGGCUUAGCUUCGGCCUCAUCGCAAAAUGAACCAAAUAAUCAGAAUUUUUGACUUUUUUGAGAUUCUAAUCUAGUGAUUUUGGCAUGAAAUCCAAGGAAAUUUCCAAAGUUUUCUCCAACUUGGCUGGUCUUUUUUGAACUGUUACCAACACAAAUGGUUUAGGAUAAGCUCCAAAAUUAAAAUUAUCCUUAGCUGUGACAUCAAGCAAACUGUUUACAGUAUAAAUCACCCACCAAAAAUGUAUGGAAAUGUGUCUUAACACCAGCCACUUAUUAGGUUAUUCAUCAAAGACAAACUACUUGACUACUUGAUUAAGCUAAUGAGUGACAAUCAAGGGUUUUUGGCAUCUACCUUGAACUAAAUCUUGUGGCACUUUGGCCAACCAACCAGCAAUAAAGGGCCAACGUGCCAAAAACCAUCCUCCAAAGAUUAGAUAAGGUUUGCAUUUGCGGCCAAAAAAAAUGGAUUUGAUUCUAUGAGAUUAGAUUAUCAACUCCAAUAAAUGAUAAUGUUGAAGGCAUGUUUGGGUUCCGUUUUUUUAUUUUCAUUGCGUUAGAAAGGAAAGAACGAAGAUGAGAGUAAAGGAAGGAUUGUGAGAAGGAUGAAGAUGGGUGGAGAAAAGGUGAUGGGAGGAAGACGGAAGAAAUGUGUAUGGAAUGUUACAUAAAAUGAAAAUAAAAAAACUACAAGCUACAAACAAUUUUAAGUUGUUUUUUAUAAUUAUCCUCAUUCAUCUGUCCUUCAUCUUUUUCAUGGCCUCUUCUUCGUUUUUUUCCAUCUCUUUUUUCAUUCAUAUAUUUUUUCUCUAUUUUAAAAAAAAAAAGAUUAAAAAAAAUGAAUAAAUUACCAAACUAGCUUCGAUUAAUUUCAAUGCGAAUUCGCUUCAUGAAACGGUCUUGGUACGUAACAUGUUCAUUGGUAAGUACCCUUAACUCAGCAAGGCAUCAUAAUUUGAAGAAAGCAACAGCCAACAAACAAGAAGAAGAAAAAGAGUUGUAUAUCAACAACAACAGAGAAAUCAGAACAAUAUAUAAUCAAUUUUGUCGACACUUGCAACAGUAUCACAUCGGAUGCUGACAUCUUGAUCAAUUUGCUGCCCUUAGAUUAAGCUCCAAACUAAAAUUCGUAGCUAUUCAAUCAAACCUAAACCACCCUUCUGAGCCUUACCAUAGUCAAGGCUAGGGGAAACCCAAAAUGAGGAAGAGAGAAUAGGGGGAUAAGGGAAGGGAGGAUUUUAUGGAUCGAUUCAUUAAUUAGGAUGGUGACAUUUGUUAAAAAGUGACUACUAGAAGGAGGAGACAGAUUAUGACCCAAAAAAUAAGGAGUAGAGAAACAAAAAUGAUGACACACUUUUGAGUCAUGCUUACAUAUAUAAAACUACCUAUUUAUUUAUUUAUUAGUACAAGCGAUUGAGAUGGGAGGUUUACACAAAUAUUUAUAAGUGUUUAGGAAUUUCGAAUUUCUGCUCAUAUAAUUGGAGGUGGAAGACUUCAACCAACUAAGAUAUAUCUCAUUAACAACUACCUAUUUAUUUUGUGAUAUUUUUUUGCCAAUCUUGUAAGGGAUCACACACACACACUAUAAGGGUGUCAUAGAGGGGUGCGAACCUAAGACUACUGGUCUACAAGUCAAUGCCAUUUUUAACUCAGGUAAACUUCGUUGACAAAUUUUAAGUUCAUAUCCCGACCCUCAUUCAUAGGAAAUAUGAAUGUUUCCUAUGUCCAAAUUCCACACUUUAAUCUCUGCGAUUUAGAUAGUCUAUUUUGAUUGCAUUGGGAGGAAUUCAAAUGAAUUCCAUAGCUUAUUGCAUACACUUUCUCUUUCUGGGCAUCUUCAGGUAUGGCUUUUUUGGGCACAUACAUAUAUAUAUAUAUAUAUACAUAUAUAUAUAUAUGUGUGCACCUUUCAAUUUAGUUGAAAUAAGCCUUUGGGUUUUUGGUAAUGCAAGUUUCUGAGAUUUUCUCCUUCCAGUUUUCCUCCAAUUCACUUUAAAUUUGUCACUGACAAGUUGCAUAAUCCUUCCAGUUUUGGUAUUAUGCUCAUUAUAUAUAGUUCUCUAUUUAAAGCUAAAACACUGUUCCAGUUGGGUUUUCUAACUUUUCUUUUCCUCUUUCCAGGUAUGGAAAGAAUGUGUGAUGUCCCCUGUAUCUGAGGCAGUUGUCUUUUAGAAUCUAAGAAGAGAAAGAGUGAAAGAGUUUUGAGCUUUAAUUUAUAAUGCCAGUUCCACUUGCCCCAUAUCCAACUCCUCCAGCACCAUACACACCACCUGCAAAUGCUAUCAUUACUCAAAAUCUGUCUUCAUCUUAUUUGGCUUGAAAACAAUGUGAAUUUGCUCUCUAUUUUUCCUGCUGAGAAAAUAAGGGAUUGGUUGAGAAUU
RNAcentral lists this long non-coding RNA (7043 nucleotides) under Prunus persica (peach). RNAcentral's name for it is "long non-coding RNA (PPER_LNC005135)". The record is from RNAcentral. Lineage: Eukaryota; Viridiplantae; Streptophyta; Magnoliopsida; Rosales; Rosaceae.